RNAcentral lists this unclassified non-coding RNA (400 nucleotides) under soil metagenome. RNAcentral describes it as "partial contains 5.8S ribosomal RNA, internal transcribed spacer 2, and large subunit ribosomal RNA". The stretch from base 1 to 122 matches the Rfam family "5.8S ribosomal RNA", at positions 35 to 154 of the family's 154-position model. The record is from RNAcentral.
GAUGAAGAACGUAGCGAAAUGCGAUACUUGGUGUGAAUUGCAGAAUCCCGUGAACCAUCGAGUCUUUGAACACAAGUUGCGCCUCAAGCCAUUAGGUUGAGGGCACGUCUGCCUGGGCGUCACAUAUCGUUGCCUGAUGCCAGUUUCCUCGUGAUGGGUGACUGUGCAGGGCGAAUGAUGGCUUCCCGUGAGCAUUGUUGCCUCAUGGUUGGUUGAAAAUUGAGUCCUUGGUAGGGAGCGCCGUGAUAGAUGGUGGUUGAGUGACGAACGAGACCCAAUCAUGUGAGACCCCUACCGAAUUUGGCCUUCAUGACCCACAUGCGUCUUUGGAACGCUCAUGACGAGACCUCAGGUCAGGCGGGGCUACCCGCUGAGUUUAAGCAUAUCAAUAAGCGGAGGA